This 611-nucleotide ribosomal RNA is filed under the name Vibrio cholerae O1 biovar El Tor. Its description in RNAcentral is "bacterial LSU rRNA". It matches the Rfam family "Bacterial large subunit ribosomal RNA", at positions 2045 to 2654 of the family's 2925-position model. Lineage: Bacteria; Pseudomonadati; Pseudomonadota; Gammaproteobacteria; Vibrionales; Vibrionaceae. The record is from RNAcentral.
AAAUCGCUGUGAAGAUGCAGUGUACCCGCGGCUAGACGGAAAGACCCCGUGAACCUUUACUACAGCUUGGCACUGAACAUUGAACCUACAUGUGUAGGAUAGGUGGGAGGCUAUGAAGACGUGACGCCAGUUGCGUUGGAGCCGUCCUUGAAAUACCACCCUUGUAUGUUUGAUGUUCUAACUUAGACCCAUUAUCUGGGUUGAGGACAGUGGCCUGGUGGGUAGUUUGACUGGGGCGGUCUCCUCCCAAAGAGUAACGGAGGAGCACGAAGGUGGGCUAAUCACGGUUGGACAUCGUGAGGUUAGUGCAAUGGCAUAAGCCCGCUUAACUGCGAGAAUGACGGUUCGAGCAGGUGCGAAAGCAGGUCAUAGUGAUCCGGUGGUUCUGUAUGGAAGGGCCAUCGCUCAACGGAUAAAAGGUACUCCGGGGAUAACAGGCUGAUACCGCCCAAGAGUUCAUAUCGACGGCGGUGUUUGGCACCUCGAUGUCGGCUCAUCACAUCCUGGGGCUGAAGUCGGUCCCAAGGGUAUGGCUGUUCGCCAUUUAAAGUGGUACGCGAGCUGGGUUUAGAACGUCGUGAGACAGUUCGGUCCCUAUCUGCCGUGGGCGU